RNAcentral lists this ribosomal RNA (216 nucleotides) under uncultured bacterium. Its description in RNAcentral is "partial 16S ribosomal RNA". It matches the Rfam family "Bacterial small subunit ribosomal RNA", at positions 328 to 539 of the family's 1533-position model. The record is from RNAcentral.
ACGCUCGACACCUACGGGAGCAGCAGUGAGGAAUAUUGGUCAAUGGGCGCUAGCCUGAACCAGCCAAGUAGCGUGAAGGAUGAAGGCUCUAUGGGUCGUAAACUUCUUUUAUAUAAGAAUAAAGUGCAGUAUGUAUACUGUUUUGUAUGUAUUAUAUGAAUAAGGAUCGGCUAACUCCGUGCAGCAGCCGCGGUAAUCUGAGCGGGCUGGCAAGGC